AGUAUUUUGUCAUUGACCGUGGGUACUGGACAGCGUUGUGACGUAACGCGACGACACAUGGACGAGGAUUUCAAGAUGGCGGCUAUCGAGAGUUUGACAGAGACUGGCCAAGAAAUGCCGGAAAAAGGCACAGAAAGCGCGGAUAAUAGCUCAGAAAGUAAUUCGGGUACAGAAGAAGCUGAANACAGCCGCUCGAGUUUAUCAAUGNCUGAACGUAAAAGUGAGCAUAAGAAGAAAAAGAAGAAACACAAAAACCACCAUAAGCACCAUCGUAAACACCACAAGCAUUCUGAUGAAGAUAAAGAGCGAAAACGCCGUCAUAAGCAUAAACACAAGCAUCGGAAAGCGUCCUUGGAUAACUCGGAUACUGAGCCAUUGGAUAAAAAAAGCCGCAUUGAGACAAUAGCAGGGGAGCUGGAAGAGCUAGAAAGACGUAAAGCCUAUCUGAAACAACAACUUGAGAAUGAUAGAACAUCUGAGAGAGAUGGAGCCUCUUUAAGAAGUAGUUCAAGUGAUAAAGAUAAGAAAAGGAAAGAAUAUAGAGAUAAAGAGGAACGUGAGAAAGAAAGGUCCCAUUUAAAUGAUUUUGACAGAAAUGGAAAGCAAGGUUAUAAAAUGGAAAAAGUGAAAGAAAGAAAAGAACACAGAGAAAGUACUCGGCACAGCAAAGAUGGUAGCUCCCAUGAUUCAAAAGAAAUGAAAGAAGAAAAUGGUGAAAAACGAAAGAGAAGGGACAAGUCAAGAUCUCCAGAUAGACCAAAGAGGCCACACAGUUAUUCACCAGAUAAAAAGACAGAAUCGUUGUCCAAUAUAUCAAGAAGUCGAAGAGAAAGAUCAAGUUCUACAGAUAUAUUUGGGAGGUCCAAAGACCUCAAUAAGAAGGUCAAUGAAAAAGAAAGUGGUACAUCAGAAGAUAAAGGAAAGUCUUUGGACAGAGAAAGAAAUCAGUCAAAAGAAAAGCAAAGUGAAACUUCUAGGCCAAAGGAUGAAUUAAGAGGUCGCAGAGAGAGGUCAGGCUCUAAAGAUCGCUUUGGGAGGUCAAAAGAUUUGGCCCAAGGAAGAGAUAAUGAGAAAAGCACUUCCAAAAUGGAGGGUAAUAGUAGGACAAUAUCGAUUGAGAAAGAAAAGACAGAUUUUAAGGAAUCAAGAAGGAGUUCUAGAUCAAGAGACAGAGAGGACUCUAAAUCAAGAAAUCGUGUUGAUUCUUCAGAAGAUUAUUCUUAUUCAAGGCCAAAAAGAUCAUUUAAAGAGAAAAAGGAUGAGGAUAAACAAAGCAAGGAUAGUGUAAGAAGGUCUCNUUCAGUUGAAGACAAACAAAAUAGCAAAUUAAGUAUCAGUGAUCAAGGAUCAAGGUCUAAAGAAUCCAUNGAUGUGAAGGGGGAUUCAAGAUCUCAUAGUCCAUUGAAGAGAGAUUUCUCAAGAGAUCGAUCAAAAGAUAGAAGGCAUCGUAGCAGAUCACCUAGGAAGGGAACCACUUCUCCCUCUAGACGGCAAAGAUCUCCAAGACGAAGUAGAUCACCAANGGAAAAAAGACCUUUUAGAAGAAGUAGGUCCCCUCGUAGGAGCAGAUCUCCAAGAAGGAGGGGAAGGUCCCCUAGGAGGAGAAGAAGCAGAUCUUCUUCACCAAGAUCAAGACAUGAAAGAAGAUCUUCUNACAAGCACAAAGGCAGUUAUUCGGAAAGCAUUCCUCAGGAUAAGAAACCAGAUUCAGGGGAUGAAUUGUAUGACUUUGAAAUGGAGUCAGAAGAGGAUGAAGAAGAGAUUAUACAGAGAAGGAGACAACAGCGAGAAGAAAUAAUAAAGAAGUAUCAGGGAGGAACUCCUUCAGCGCCAGCGUCAAUUGCAACAUCAGUGACAUCACAGGANUUGAAAGACUCAGAUUCAGACAGUGAUAGUAGUGAUAGUGAUAACAGUGAAUAUAGCAAUGCUGUUGACAAACAAGCUACUGAAGACCUUGAAAAAGACUUGGUUCUCACAGCUAAUAAAGGAAAAGAUAGUAAAAGUGGGGCAAAGGACAAUGAAUCGAGUGAAAACAAGAGCAGUUCUGAUUCUAAAAAAGAUGAAGAGACUUCCAAAAAUGGUGAAAUUGUUGCCGUAGAUGAUAUGUUUUCUGAACAUUACAGUAGCCCUGGAGGUCAAGUGCUAAUGAAGAUGGAUGUAUCAAAAGAAAAUCCUAAUCUUACUGACAACUGGGAUGAUGCUGAAGGAUAUUACCGUGUACGUAUUGGUGAACUACUCGACAAGAGGUACAACGUAUAUGGGUUUUCUGGGAGUGGUGUGUUUAGUAAUGUCAUCAGAGCAAGAGAUCAGGCAAGAGGGAACCAGGAUGUUGUGGUGAAAAUUAUACGAAACAAUGAAAUGAUGCACAAAACUGGUNUGAGGGAGCUCGAUUUCUUGAAAAAGCUGAAUGACGCUGACCCAGAUGACAAGUACCAUUGUUUACGUCUGUACAGACACUUUUUCCACAAGAACCACUUGUGUCUUGUAUUUGAAUCNUUGAGUAUGAAUCUCAGAGAAGUGCUUCGAAAAUAUGGACANAAUGUUGGUCUUCACAUAAAAGCUGUCAGGUCAUAUAGUCAACAGUUAUUNUUAUCUUUAAAACUACUAAAACGAACGGGAAUUUUACAUGCGGAUAUCAAGCCUGACAAUAUUCUGGUCAAUGAGUCGAAGUUGAUGAUCAAACUUUGUGACUUUGGUUCAGCAUCUCUGGCACAAGAUUAUGAAAUAACUCCAUAUCUUGUUAGCCGNUUUUAUAGAGCACCAGAAAUAAUCAUAGGUUCCAAGUACGACUAUGCUUUAGACUUGUGGUCUGUGGGGUGUACUAUUUAUGAACUGUACACUGGUAAGAUNAUGUUUCCUGGGAAAACAAACAAUGAGAUGCUCAAGUUGAUGAUGGACUAUAAAGGCAAGAUUCCAAAUAAGAUGAUCCGCAGAGGAAUGUUAAAGGACAAACACUUUGAUGAUAGCUGCAAUUUUCUUCACCAUGAAGUUGACAAAGUAACCCAAAGGGAAAAAGUGACAGUAAUAAGCUCAAUCAACCCAACUAAAGAGAUAGCUGAAUCCUUAUUUGGAUACCAUAAACUGGACGAGGUACACAAGCGCAAAGUAAACCAACUAAAAGAUCUUCUAGACAAGAUUCUGAUGUUGGAUCCAGCCAAGCGAAUGUCCUUGAAUGAAGCUCUUACUCAUCCCUUCAUCACAGAGAAAAUCUAAACUAAAGCGAUCAAGUUGAGUGGACACAUUGACACAAUGACAGUAACAUUCAUAUCAGAUUGUUACAUCUUGAAUCUAUUCAUCAAAGCAUACAUCACCUUCUAUCUUGAGGAAGAUCGCCUGGCAAUGAAUCAAUCUGUAACUUAGGGUUGAUAAAUAUUGUACAGGUAUAACGCCUGAUUAUCUCGAAAUGANCAGAAAAGCUUUGAUCUCUUUCUGGAAUUAAUUAAAAACAUAUUUUGUUGGAGUCUUAAAAAUGAGUGCAAAAGACUUCGGAGCCUUUGAUAAAAUAAGGAACNAGAUUUAACAAAAACAUUGGACAAAGACAUAUUAUGCAUAUUCUACUUCUGCUAGUAACUAAAAUGUGAUAUUUUCACCAUGUAAAUAAUGGAUAAAUUUUGAUAAAUACUUGANUUUUUUUACACCCUGAGACUAACAAAAGCAUAUGGGGUGGCAUAUCAGUAUAUAUNCCUUGCAUUGUUUGCACUUUUUAAUGUGUAAAUUGUUUUAUGGUUGUUGUAUCUUGUUUUCUUUUUCUCAUGAUUUAUAAAUAGUAUGUUUAGUUUGAUCGGUAAUUCUUUUUCCAUCAAAUUCAUAUUCUUCACUAUAAGCAUCUUAAAAGUAUUUAAAAAUAUUGAAAAUUAUAACAACAGUAUUUCUUAUAAUUAUGCAUGUAUACAGCUGAUCAAAGGAAUCAGUAUUAACAUUAGUGAUNGGUAUAAGCCAUGCUUUCUUGAGGAGGUUUCAGUGUAAACUCUCGAACGUCGGACUCCUCUUCUUGUUUGUACCUCAUUAUGGAGAUAACCCCGGAUUUUAAGUUUUAAUGUGUCAUAUAGUUCCAGAAGAUAUUGAUACCUUAAGAUGAAGGAGUAAAUGCUAUCCCCACCUCCCCCCCCCCUCUACACCUUGCUGGAAGUUUUAUAAAGAAAACAACCUCCCUGAUUCACUUCCUUGGAAAUUGUACUUCCCUUCAUUGAGGAAGGACUGAACAUCUUCUGGAACAAACAACUUUUACUUAUUUUUUUUACUCAAACCAACAAAUGGUCCUCGACAAACAAUGUUGUUAUUAUAUUUUCAAAUAAGAACGAGAAUUUUUUUGAUCAUGUAGUAGGAUUAGUACUUCAAAGACAAUAUUAAGAGAAAUCUCUGUUCAUAAUGUAAGGCUGUUGUGACCAUUGGCAGUUUUUCUCUUGACAGGAUAGUGUGACACUUGUGCUGAUGUUGUGUGACUUCUCAAUAAAGUUCUUAUAUCCAUGGCAA
RNAcentral lists this unclassified non-coding RNA (4473 nucleotides) under Actinia tenebrosa (Australian red waratah sea anemone). RNAcentral's name for it is "serine/threonine-protein kinase PRP4 homolog, transcript variant X4". The record is from RNAcentral. Lineage: Eukaryota; Metazoa; Cnidaria; Anthozoa; Actiniaria; Actiniidae.